RNAcentral lists this ribosomal RNA (497 nucleotides) under uncultured bacterium. RNAcentral describes it as "partial 16S ribosomal RNA". It matches the Rfam family "Bacterial small subunit ribosomal RNA", at positions 28 to 507 of the family's 1533-position model. The record is from RNAcentral.
GAUGAACGCUGGCGGCGUGCCUAAUACAUGCAAGUCGAGCGAACGGACGAGAAGCUUGCUUCUCUGAUGUUAGCGGCGGACGGGUGAGUAACACGUGGAUAACCUCCCUAUAAGACUGGGAUAACUUCGGGAAACCGGAGCUAAUACCGGAUAAUAUUUUGAACCGCUUGGUUCAAAAGUGAAAGACGGUCUUGCUGUCACUUUUAGAUGGUUCCGCGCUGCAUUAGCUAGUUGGUAAGGUAACGGCUUACCAAGGCAACGAUGCAUAGCCGACCUGAGAGGGUGAUCGGCCACACUGGAACUGAGACACGGUCCAGACUCCUACGGGAGGCAGCAGUAGGGAAUCUUCCGCAAUGGGCGAAAGCCUGACGGAGCAACGCCGCGUGAGUGAUGAAGGUCUUCGGAUCGUAAAACUCUGUUAUUAGGGAAGAACAUAUGUGUAAGUAACUGUGCACAUCUUGACGGUACCUAAUCAGAAAGCCACGGCUAACUACGUG